UGAGCAACCUACCGAACUGUGGGGGAUAGCCGGCCUAACGGCCGAGUAAUACCGCAUACGCUCUCAGUGAGGCAUUUCACUGAGAGGAAACCUACGGGACAGAUCGAGGGGCUCGCGGCCUAUCAGCUAGUUGGCGAGGUAACGGCUCACCAAGGCAACGACGGGUAGCUGGUCUGAGAGGAUGGCCAGCCACAUUGGGACUGAGAUACGGCCCAG
Molecule: ribosomal RNA, 216 nt
Filed under: uncultured bacterium
Lineage: Bacteria
Description: partial 16S ribosomal RNA
Rfam family: Bacterial small subunit ribosomal RNA
Source: RNAcentral